This 780-nucleotide ribosomal RNA is filed under the name Cryptosporidium parvum. Its description in RNAcentral is "SSU rRNA". It matches the Rfam family "Eukaryotic small subunit ribosomal RNA", at positions 237 to 1049 of the family's 1831-position model. Lineage: Eukaryota; Apicomplexa; Conoidasida; Eucoccidiorida; Cryptosporidiidae. The record is from RNAcentral.
AUAUGAUUGGUGACUGAUAAUAACUUUACGGAUCACAAUUAAUGUGACAGAUCAUUCAAGUUUCUGACCUAUCAGCUUUACACGGUAGGGUAUUGGCCUACCGUGGCAAUGACGUGUAACGGGGAAUUAGGGUUCGAUUCCGGAGAGGGAGCCUGAGAAACGGCUACCACAUCUAAGGAAGGCAGCAGGCGCGCAAAUUACCCAAUCCUAAUACAGGGAGGUAGUGACAAGAAAUAACAAUACAGGACUUUUUGGUUUUGUAAUUGGAAUGAGUUAAGUAUAAACCCCUUUACAAGUGUCAAUUGGAGGGCAAGUCUGGUGCCAGCAGCCGCGGUAAUUCCAGCUCCAAUAGCGUAUAUUAAAGUUGUUGCAGUUAAAAAGCUCGUAGUUGGAUUUCUGUUAAUAAUUUAUAUAAAAUAUUUUGAUGAAUAUUUAUAUAAUAUUAACAUAAUUCAUAUUACUAUUUUUUUUUUUAGUAUAUGAAAUUUUACUUUGAGAAAAUUAGAGUGCUUAAAGCAGGCAUAUGCCUUGAAUACUCCAGCAUGGAAUAAUAUUAAAGAUUUUUAUCUUUUUUAUUGGUUCUAAGAUAAGAAUAAUGAUUAAUACGGACAGUUGGGGGCAUUUGUAUUUAACAGUCAGAGGUGAAAUUCUUAGAUUUGUUAAAGACAAAGUAAUGCGAAAGCAUUUGCCAAGGAUGUUUUCAUUAAUCAAGAACGAAAGUUAGGGGAUCGAAGACGAUCAGAUACCGUCGUAGUCUUAACCAUAAACUAUGCCAACUAG